UACGUAGGGGGCAAGCGUUGUCCGGAUUUAUUGGGCGUAAAGAGCGUGUAGGCGGCCAGACAGGUCCGUUGUGAAAACUCGAGGCUCAACCUCGAGAUGUCGAUGGAAACCGUCUGGCUAGAGUCCGGAAGAGGAGAAUGGAAUUCCCGGUGUAGCGGUGAAAUGCGCAGAUAUCGGGAAGAACACCCGUGGCGAAGGCGGUUCUCUGGGACGGUACUGACGCUGAGACGCGAAAGCGUGGGGAGCGAACAGG
RNAcentral lists this ribosomal RNA (253 nucleotides) under uncultured bacterium. RNAcentral's name for it is "partial 16S ribosomal RNA". It matches the Rfam family "Bacterial small subunit ribosomal RNA", at positions 524 to 776 of the family's 1533-position model. The record is from RNAcentral.